Molecule: ribosomal RNA, 253 nt
Filed under: uncultured bacterium
Lineage: Bacteria
Description: partial 16S ribosomal RNA
Rfam family: Bacterial small subunit ribosomal RNA
Source: RNAcentral
UACGGGGGGGGCAAGCGUUGUUCGGAAUUACUGGGCGUAAAGGGCUUGUAGGCGGCCAACUAAGUCAGACGUGAAAUCCCUCGGCUUAACCGGGGAACUGCGUCUGAUACUGGAUGGCUUGAGUUUGGGAGAGGGAUGCGGAAUUCCAGGUGUAGCGGUGAAAUGCGUAGAUAUCAAGAGGAACACCUGAGGUGAAGACGGGUUGCUGGGCUGAUACUGACGCUGAGGCGCGAAAGCUAGGGUAGCAAACAGG